This 406-nucleotide ribosomal RNA is filed under the name uncultured bacterium. Its description in RNAcentral is "partial 16S ribosomal RNA". It matches the Rfam family "Bacterial small subunit ribosomal RNA", at positions 30 to 526 of the family's 1533-position model. The record is from RNAcentral.
AUUGAACGCUGGCGGCAGGCCUAACACAUGCAAGUCGAACGAGUGGCGCACGGGUGUGUAUUGUCCGGGAAACUCCCUGACGUAGGGAGAUAACUACUUUAAACGGUAGCUAAUACCGCAUACCAUCAGAUGUGCCCAGAUGGGUUUAGCUUGUUGGUGGGGUAAUGGCUCACCAAGGCGACGAUCCCUAGCUGGUCUGGGAGGAUGACCAGGCACACUGGAACUGAAACGCGGUACGGACUCCUACGGGAGGCGGCAGUGGGGAAUGGUGCACAAUGGACGCAGGGCUAAUGCAGCCAUGCCGAGUGUAUGAAGAGGGCCUUCGGGUUGUAGAGUACUUUCAGCGGGGAGGCGUUACCCGAAGAAGAAGCACCGGCUAACUCCGUGCCAGCAGCCGCGGUAAUUC